CCUACGGGAGGCUGCAGUGGGGAAUAUUGCACAAUGGGGGAAACCCUGAUGCAGCGACGCCGCGUGAAGGAAGAAGUAUUUCGGUAUGUAAACUUCUAUCAGCAGGGAAGAAAAUGACGGUACCUGACUAAGAAGCCCCGGCUAACUACGUGCCAGCAGCCGCGGUAAUACGUAGGGGGCAAGCGUUAUCCGGAUUUACUGGGUGUAAAGGGAGCGUAGGCGGUUUAGCAAGGCAGAAGUGAAAGCCCGGGGCUCAACUCCGGGACUGCUUUUGAAACUGUUGAACUAGAGUGCAGGAGAGGUGAGUGGAAUUCCUAGUGUAGGAGUGAAAUGCGUAGAUAUUAGGAGGAACACCAGUGGCGAAGGCGACUAACUGGAAUAUAAAUGACGCUGAGGAUCGAAAGCGUGGGGAGCAAACAGGAUUAGAUACCCUGGUAGUC
This 440-nucleotide ribosomal RNA is filed under the name uncultured bacterium. RNAcentral describes it as "partial 16S ribosomal RNA". It matches the Rfam family "Bacterial small subunit ribosomal RNA", at positions 338 to 795 of the family's 1533-position model. The record is from RNAcentral.